This 497-nucleotide ribosomal RNA is filed under the name uncultured Glomeromycotina. RNAcentral's name for it is "partial small subunit ribosomal RNA". It matches the Rfam family "Eukaryotic small subunit ribosomal RNA", at positions 591 to 1092 of the family's 1831-position model. Lineage: Eukaryota; Fungi; Glomeromycota. The record is from RNAcentral.
CCAAUAGCGUAUAUUAAAGUUGUUGCAGUUAAAAAGCUCGUAGUUGAAUUUUGGAUCUGACCAAGCGGUCCGCCUUUGGUGAGUACUGUUUGUGUCGGGUCUAUCCUUCUGGUGAGCUGGUAUGCCCUUUAUUGGGUGUGUCAGGGAACCAGGACCAUUACCUUGAAAAAAUUAGAGUGUUUAAAGCGGGCAUAAGCUUGAAUAGAUUAGCAUGGAAUAAUAGAAUAGGACGCUGUGGUUCUAUUUUGUUGGUUUCUAGGACCACCGUAAUGAUUAAUAGGGAUAGUUGGGGGCAUUAGUAUUCAAUUGUCAGAGGUGAAAUUCUUGGAUUUAUUGAAGACUAACUACUGCGAAAGCAUUUGCCAAGGAUGUUUUCAUUAAUCAAGAACGAAAGUUAGGGGAUCGAAGACGAUCAGAUACCGUCGUAGUCUUAACCAUAAACUAUGCCGACUAGGAAUCGGGCGACGUUAUUUUAAUGACUCGCUCGGCGCCUUAUG